UUCCCCUCGGCUCCUGUUCCAGCGACACGAUAUGAUUCACCAGCAAGGAGGGACGCCAAUAAGGCGUCCUAUAAGAUAAGUUCCAUAAGAUAUAUAGAUGUAUGGUAAUUGAGACUGAGCUAACAAAUGAGAAUCCUAGUCAUUGGCCAAGCAGCUUUGUAACUAAUACAAGUCUCUCUGUGUAUUCAUUUGGGCCUAACUCGGGCGGGCGACUGGCAUAAAGCUCACACGUGACGGUGGGGCUCAGGAGGCUUUUGGCAAAAAGAUUUAUUGUAACAUCCUAGCCUAAAGAUUGGAUGAAACCUACCUGGCUAAGAGACCAGCCCUCAGGAAGUCAGAUUCACAUUAAGCCAUUCUACUAAGAUCGGAAGGUAUAACUUCCCCUUUUUCUUCUUUUCUGUCUCUUUUGGAUGCUGACCAGGGCAUCUGUCUUUUGUGCCCCUAUGGGCUUCCUUACUUUUUCUCUGAAACUGUCUUUCUGCCAUGAGACUACUUGUCCACCAGGUGCUGACCUCUGUGCUACCUUGGUUUAAUUGAUACGGCUUUCUCUCUUCCUCCUGGUCUCCAUCUCCCUCUUUGAGCAGCUGCCAAGAUUUAUAGCUUGCCUGCCCUAGGGAUUUUCUUUCAAACUCUAACACAAUUGUUCACAAACUUCUAUUGGGCCCAUUCUUAAAUUAUUUUUUUUAACAAGACCAAGAGCUCCCAAGUGAUACCCCCAAAUUUCCCAGUGGGAGUUUAGCUCACAUCUGAAUAACAUGGAGGAGGAUAUCACAAUACACAUUCCUCCCCUCCCCACUGUGAUUCUGUCAGAAGCCCUGGACCUGGGCCAUAGGAAUUGGUAUUUUGGCCAGGAGAUUCUGCCAGAGAUCCACGGGCUACUUGGGAAUCAUUAUUUUAGGAUAAUUCUCCACCUAGACCCAAUGUGGUAGCUAACGCAUUUAAUUACAAUGCUCUAGGAUGGGUGGAUGAAAGAAAGGCCUAGAAGACAACAGAAGGACAGAUGAAGGGAAGAGCCACACAGCAAUGAAAGUUAAUCACACAUUGAACCAAGCAAACGGCAAGGUGCUUUUAAAUAGAAUGUGGGUGAGAAACCCUUCAUACAUAUACUCUAAUAACAUACAAGUAGGAUGACUCACUUAUCUAUUGAGUCUCACUGGCUGUUACCUGACAGAGGGGUGUGCUUAGUCCUUUGUAUUGGGGGAGGGGGGAGAGGUCAGAGCUAAUCCAAAUACAUUGCAAAUAAAUGACAGCUCCUGGUUUCCAACCUGGUUCUUGGCUGAAGUCAAAGCAUGGGCUUUAGUCACCAUGGUGGUGUGUUGUAGCUAAGUUCAGUAGAAAAAGAAAUCCAUCAAUGUAAUAUGAUAGUCACUAGGAGAAUGAUUGGCUAAUAAGACCACCCUAAAAUUGAUUACCAGAUCCUUUUGUGGUUAAGAAGAAUCAUCUGUCUCAGAGGUAGAGAGAUGGCUCAGCAGUUAAGAGCACUGACUGAUCUUCCAGAGGAUCCAGGUUCAGUUACCAGCACACACUGCAACUCAUAACCAUCUCAGUUCCCUGUCACAUACAGAACCUUUACUCUGCAUUCAUUCUAACAGAAUAACGAGCACAAACAAGAAGCAAUGGUUGCUAGAGUCUGGUGUCUACAUAAGGUUUUGAAAACGUGCAACAUAUAAAUAACUGCUUAACAACAGAUAACUGGGGGCUCUGCUAUUGUCAGAGAACAGCCUGAACAAUUGUUUUCUGAACAGAUGAACUCUGAUUCUUGCAUGAGUCACUUGAUCAGUAAGUAGGGGCUGUGGACUGUAAAUUCACCGACUUGAGUAAAAAUCAUGAAUGCAAGGCACGGACCUGCCUUCAGGCUCUCUUGUUUGGGAAGACAGGUUAGUGGGAAGGGAUGAUGUAAGACAGUGGGAUGUUCGGGCCAUCAGGUAGCAGAAAAUCAGAGAUGUGGGAGAGGGCUGAAGUGGGCUACAGUUGUCAAGGGAAGCUCUGAGGAAGAGGUAGAAUUUGCACACUUUAGGAUUUGGAGAUCAAGAGAAGCUUGCACAGAAGGCAUUCCAGGACAGAGGCAGGCAAAGGGUGUCUCUGCUUGCUGCUUGUCAAUGUCUUCCAGGACUGUAAAGAUGAAGCCUUCAGACUUCUCCAAGUCUUCACAGAAAAUCAGCCAGUGCACACAGAUACAUAAAGCACCAGGACAUUAAAUGAUGUCAAAGGGUAUAAGUUAAGUAUUAUAGUUUUUCUUAAAAAAAAAAAAAACAACCCAGCAUCUUAUAUUCUAAACAGCAUAAAAAUUAGAAGACUUGCCUGCUAAAUAGAGCCCACCCUCCCCUUUGCUUGGACAUUUUCAAAAUGUUUAGUUGUAGAAGAAAUAGUUAUUUGAACUCCUAAGCCUGGAGCUCACUGGAUUGGCUAGGCUGGCUGGCCAGCAAGUCCCAGCGAUCCUCCUGUUUCUCCCCUUCCAGUGCUGGGGAGUCUGAACUCAGGACCUCAUGCUUAUGUUGUUGCACUUUCCUGAACCAGCUACCUAGCUCCCCAAUGCUGUUUUGCAUUUUCUUUUAAAAGACAAGAUCUUAUUAUAUAGCCCAGGAUGGCCUAAAAUUCAGAAUUCUCUUGUCUUAGUUUCUUGGCAAACACUCUUUUAUAAGUGUGAUUAUUUCCUGUUGCUCUAUAACCAAACAGCUGUGUUUAGAAUGGAUGAGUACGAUUCCAUUAUAAUUAAAAAUAUCACAAACCUGCCAUUUGGGGAGAAAAUUUUGAAACACUGGAAAUGGCUGAGAAGACAAUUUGGAUUCCAUUUGAUCAUGAAGGGGCAGUAUUCUGCAAUUCAGGUGAAAGCUGUGGUAGUACUGUACACCUACAUGAAAGCAGGAUUUUGACUAGUAAUUUGGCUUCUAGGUAAUAUAUUAUGACUUACAGAAUAAAUUAAUCUUUUUUUCUCUCUCCUAAAGAACACAAGGCCACAUCCAGUGCCAAGUCUUCUCCCCAGAAUUGCUUGGCCAUGUUCCCAGAUGAUCCAACAGCCUUGCAAAUGCAACUCAUCAACCUAUUUGUUAGCUUCCAGGAAGACCGGAAGGAACAGAAGUCAUCAAGUGAUCCUCCUGUUUGAUCAAUAGCCUCCUCCUCCUUCCAUCCCUGCUUUCCAAAACCCACACAAAGACUCCGAGAACAAGUCUAUGCUAGACAGUACUGACUCAAAUGGUCAAAGUUAGUGCUGGAGCAAAGCAUGGUCACUCAAUGGAAAGUGAGCAUUGGACCAACGCUGCUUCAUGGCUUUCAGGAGAAUUUGGGAGAGAAUUCUGAGUGCACAGACUCUGUCUAAUUGGUGUCUUGAGUAAAAAAGAGGCAGAUGGAGAACUCAUUAAUGGCCACACUUUUAGUGUGUGGACUGAGAAAUAGAAAUGACAAUGACAAAGACAACAGAUUAGAGGAGCAGAUGUGAAGAGAACAGGGUGAAUUAAUCGUGUGUGUGUGUGUGUGUGUGUGUGUGUGUGUGUGUGUGUGUGUGUGUGUUUCAAUGGGCAGUGGUUCAUAUAUGUAUGAGGAUGUUCAUGCAUGUGGAGCCAGAGUUCAAGGUUGGGUGUCUUUCUCGAUCAUUUUCCACCAUACUAAGGCAGAGUCUUUUACAUGAACCCAGAGCUUUCUAGAUCAGCUAUUCUAGCUAACUGGCUUGUUCCAGGGAUCUCCUGUCUCCACCUCCUGAACAAUGGGAUUACAAAUAGUUACUUACCCAGCUUUUAUGUGGGUGCUGGGGAUUUGAACUCUGACCCUCAUGCUUGCACAGCAACCACUUUACCCACUGGACCAUCUCCCCAGUUUCUACCCAUAGUUUUUAUUGUGACAAAAUAUAUCUAGCAUGACAUUUACCAUGUUAGCCAUUUGGGUUAUAUAAUUUGGUGAAUUAAUUUACAUACACAUAGUUGUGUAGUCAUCACCUCUGUGCAUCUCUAGACCUUGUGGGGUAUAUAAUUUGAUGAAUUAAUUUAUAUACACAUAGGUGUGUAACCAUCACCUCUGUGCAUCUCUAGACCUUGGUUUCAAAACUUAGAUGCAUGAAACAGUGGCUCUCUACCUCUCAGCUCCUAAUCCCUGGGUAACUACUAGUCUCUGGAUUUUACUAAUGUGGGAAUUAAUCAUUCUUACCAGAUGACUGCUGGGAGUUAUGUUUGUUGUUUCCCAGAUCCAAAACCACAUUGCAGUACGUGCUCUGCAUAAUGGAUAAGGCUCCAUUAAGCGUCCUUCCUUCAGAGUGUAAGCCACAGGGAGCUUUCCCAUUAGAAGGCACUGGAGGGAUAAUACAAAGAAAGGGGCUCUCCUGUUUCUAGCGUCAGCAGUGUGCCUCUGUCUCCGUUUCUGUGUCUCUGUCUCUCUGUCAUCACUCCCCCCCCAAUGUGUGUGAGUUCACUUGUAAGUUUGUUGCCUACUGCUGCCUAUAUGUCUGAGAUCUGUCAGGCCUUUUAAUUCUUCAGCUGGCAGAGAGAAUGGACCUGAUCAAGAUCCUAGAUAGUAGCAGUUUCAUCAUCACUGCAGAGAUACUCUGAGAGGAUCUCUCCACCCAUCCUCUUUCAUCUAGAAGUGCAAAGCUGGAAAAGACAUGUCCUUUAGAAAGAGCAGCAGCUCCAUCCCUUUCAGCUCUGCCAUAGAGAGCGGUGAUUAAAUUGGGUUCAAAUCAAUCAGAAUGGAUGGUGAAACAAGAGUGGAUGCUGGGACCAGUCAGAAGAGAGGCUGAAGGAAACAACAGAGACACUGGCUAGCCACAGUGGUCCAUCUGUGACGGUUCCAGCAGAUGCCAGCUCUGUAGCUGUGGGAGCCCAGAUUUGAGAUAUUAGGAAGGACUGUGGCAGAGUCCCUGCUGCUCUGACUUCAGUCAAAUCUUCCCAGCUCAUUGAUGGCCUAUAAAGAGAAUGAAAUAACUGGCAAGCAGCUAGGAAAAUUUCUAGAAUAUUUCCAGUGAUGCCUACUCCUUUGCUAGCCUUACCUAUUUCUAUAUAGCAAUACAGUUUUUUUUAGGCUACCAGGCCAAAGAAGUGAGUCACUAAUUUCCCAUUUUACUCCAACAGUCCCCAUUUGCAUUACUAGAAAAUCCUGGCCACUCCACUUUCAGGGUAUGUCCACAAUCUAACCACUUUCAUGGCACAGCCAUCAUCACCUCUUGCUUAGAUUCUGCCAUCAGUUCCUCACUGGUGUCUUAUGCCUUUAUGGUCCAUUCUCAGAUUGACAGAGGGGGGAUCCAGUGGAACAGAAAUCUGGUUUUGAGACUCCUCUUUUAGACAUUCACCAAUGGUUUUUCAUCUCAGCAAAAGCCAAAGGACAUAUAUUAGCCUUCAAGACCUUAUACUAGCAAGAUGAUGAAUUUAGUCUCUUCUUGCCUCUGAGCCUUUUCACAGGCUGGUCCUCUUGCAGAGUCUAUUAACUCUCAACCUAGUCAACGCCUAUUCAUUCUCUUGGUCUCAUGAUGAUUAUUUCCUCAGGAAAGCCUGCCUCAAAUCCUCAUGUUCAGGCUCUCCAAUAGCCGAUGCUCUUUUUUAAAAGACACAAACAGUACAGGUUAUCAUUCCAUGUUUAUGUAACUACUAGUUUCAUGCCUCUUUUUCCCUGUGUACUGUAUACUCAAUGAGACUGCAAGCACCCAACAGAUCAUUUGGCGCAGUCUGGCCUCAGGUUCAAGCAAGCCCUUUGUAGAGAGACUUGUGUCAAACAGGAAGCAGCAUGAAGAAAAGCCUUCCGCGCGAUGUGUCAAGCCUUCCAGGAAAGACUUAGCUAUGAAGAUAUUUUUAUUCCUUUCUAAACCCACAAGGUCUAUAAAGCACUGCCUCCCGGGAAUGGUCGGCAGCCCCGUUAGCAGAAUACAGCUGAGAAGAUUAAAAAGCCAUCCAGGAGAGCUGGACCAAGGAACCUCACUCUGUCCUCAUUCUUCUCAGCCCAGGCCUGGUGACAAUUCCCUUCUAAGCAGCUCUUAGAACACAGGAAGAAGGCUGACAAAAGAAUCUUUUGGAAAUGGAGAAGAGUUACAAGCACCUUGAAGAGAAAGGACAGCAAUGGGAAAGAUCGGAUCAAGAAGAAAAGGAUCAUUUAUGGUCCAGAAUUCAGGAAUCCACGGAGGUGAAAAGUGAAGAGCACAAGAGACCUCUGUAUCGGUGGGGCUGGGACAGGCCCACACAAGACGGUACAGGCCGGGCAAUCAGAGGAAGGCACCAGAGUCUAAGGGUUGACAGCUGUGAACACACUUUGAAAGCAGGUGUCCUGAGGGACUGGGGUUCCUUUGAGGAUCGGUGUAGAAGUACAUUAGCAGCCACUAAGCCAUGUGGCUUCACACUUUAGUAGAGGAGCGGCCUGCCAGUUUGAGGUAAUGAGAAGGGUGUGCAAAGACCCGCCAUCUCUCCAUGGCUCUCCCUAAUAAUGAGAUGUAUGAUGAGGAGAAUAGACAAUUGAGGUUAGAGGUCAGCAGAGCUGCAGUCCAUUCCUAUUGUCACAAACACCCCUGAUUGUCAGUGUGACUUGCUUCAGCCAAUGUUGGCCAAAUAGCCCCGGGACGAAAGGGGUACCUUCCCCAAUAUAAACACUUCAUCAGAGGAGCAUCUCUUUAGAAAAGGGGCCUGCAAUACCCUGGGACUGGGACUGGGCCUGCAAUGAGAAGACAUGGUUUUCUGUGUGCAGAAACAGAGAACUUCUUUCCUUUAAAAAAAAAAAAAUUAACCCAGGUGGAAGAACUAUGGAACAAUGUUGAUUGUGAUCAUUCUUUUGUCUGUGUGUCACAUUUUCUCUUAUCUAGUCACUGAACUAUGACAUCCCAAUGUCUUCUAGCUGUUUCUGACCCACAGAGUCCUAUCUCUGUGCUAAUGACUAACUAGCAAACUGCCCCUGGUGUCAGCAAUAAUCAGUGUGCCCACAGCAUUACAAACCAGGGCUUCAAGGAAACCACAGAUAGUUCCCAGCUGAUCCAGCUGCUGCUGAGGCUGGAGCACCUCCAAGUGUAAUCAUCAAAAAUCAGCAUCCCCCAGGCUUUUGCUCGAUGCACCAGGCUCCGAGAGACAAGCACGUUGGCCAGGCUCUUGCAAUGUUUGGAAAGAUGCUGUAGCUUUGAAAAGAGCCCAGGCAUUGAAAUACUUGCAAUUUCUCAGACAGUGAAGAUUGAGACACAUGUGUGACCCAUCUUCUCUUACUCAGGUCUGGGGUCUAUAAAUACCCUGGAAGAGAAGGUAGUCCAUAGUUGAACCUCAAAGAACCAAAAGCCUACAACCUUGAGGAAUAGAAAAACUCGAAGGCAAUGAGAGGGAAAGCAAGUGGAGUGUGGAGCCCAAGAGUGUUUGGCCUGACUUGAUGGCUGGCCUUGGCAGAAGAAGGGGAAACUCUCACAAGGGCGUUUCCUUCUUGGAGUUGAAGCUGGGAUCAGAGCCCUCAAUUUGGAGCUUCAGGGCUUGUUUAAGGUUCAGCUCAGUCUCUGAGGGAGGGAACCCCUCCAGCACCUCCUGAUGCCCUCGCUCCUGCACUGUUCGAGAGACAGAGACCCUGCCCAGGAACACCUGGUUGAUCUGCAGAUGGUUUUUUCUGGAUACACUGAGGAAAUCCUUUGGAAUUUAUUCUUAGUUAUCAAGACCCCACAUUGUGACCAUAUGAUACUGUUUGAUACCAGGAAUGUAAUUCUUCUCCAAUGAGCCAAGUAUUGACUGCAUGCCUAGCCUAAAUCAAGCAACAUAGUUAUUCAGUUUUCUUCAUUUGCUUCUUAGUCCAUCUCAUCAGUAUGUGCUUAGCUGAGUGGGCAAACUAUGAUCAGGCCAAGAAAGAGGACUGGAUGAAUUCUCCUGAUUCUGCUUGGCCUGAAGAAACUGUCCCUGGCCAAUUUCUCAACAUCAAAAGUUUUAGAAUGAAUAUAUCACAUAAAGGAAGAAAUAAAAAUAUUGGCAAACUGGGGGUUUGGCAUCUGUUGCAGAUGAUGUUAUGUUAACUUUGGCUAAUUACAUUCAUGGUGCUUUAUGAGCAGUUGUCUCUGUUGCGGCUUCCUAACACAUUCUUACCGGAACCCUAACUGGUGCUCAUGGAGUCUAUAAAAUGAAGGAGAAUAAGCUGUCUUCCCAGCUAAGGGACACAGGAUGCCAAGUGCAGGACUAAUCUGUAGCAGAGGCCACAUCCCAAGGAUGAGUGCACUGGGACUGAAGGGAUUCUCUAUCCUCAUGAGCUUGGUCCUCUUCUUGCUGCAUUCUCUCUGUAUCUAAUGCCCUAGAAAUGACAGGAAUUCUUGGAAUUCCUCAGCCCAGGCAAGAUGAGUGGGGCAUGACACGAUAGACUGGAAACAGAGGAGGCCAUGACCUGCAGAUAAGAGACCCAUGAGGGGAAUGUAACUUCAGAGAAGAGCUCAUAAGAAAACAAGUUCAAAAUAUGUUCUCCACAGUACUGUUUUUAAGGAAAAACUCAAAGAAGCAAGAAGUACAGAAGGGUACAUGAGAACCAGAGAUUCCAUGGUGGGAACCAUGAUGGAAUAUUGUACAGCUAUAAAAAAAAAAACAAAUUUAUCAGCUGCAAUGUAGAAAUGUUCAUAUAGAAGAGUAUAGAGUCACAAUAAUCAGUUAACAUCUGUCUAUGUGUUCAAAUAUUAAACAAAAUGGUAUGAGAUCCCUCACAACCCGAGAGAUCAAAUUACUAAUGGACUUACCAUGUUUUAAAUAGACUGCAUUUCUUUAACACGGACAUCCCUUCAGCCUCCUGUACUGGCCCCAUACUUCUGAGCCUCCUCCUCAACAGAGUCGAUGCGUUUCCCAAGGUUCUCACUCUGUUCAUGUCUCACACACAACCCCCUCCUUUCUGUGUUUCAGCCACACAGCCCUUUCGGAUCCUCAGAACCUCCUAGGUCUUGAGGUCUAUGCACUCCCUACUGCCUGGAGGUUCCUGGCCUCAAGUCUAUGAAUGUCACAGUUUCAUGGUCACAUGGUUCUACCAUUAUCUUCACACCUGGCAGCUUGCUUUGUUAGACUCAGACCCCUUGAAAGCUUUGUAAUUAUAUGUGAAUCAUGGUUUCUCCUAAAAGGAUGGGAAGCUUCAUGAGGAAUGUGAUGCUUAGCUUUAUCUGCCAACUCGAUUGGAGUGAAAAGUCUUGCCUCCCUCGGACAGGAAAAUUCUUCUUCUCUGACUGCCUUUGGGCCAAGACACUGGCUUCUUCCCAUCUCAAACCAAACCCAGCUGACUCAAAGCUUGCUGACUUCCAGACGGUUACCCCAGUCUUCUGGGCUCUCUCAAGCUUACAAUCCAAUCUGCAAAUUUGGCCAUUUUCUCUGAUUCCUUUCAUUGAAACUUUCUAGAGAAAAAUACAUUCUUUUGUUUGUGUUUUUCAAGAAGACCUGCCUAAUAUAAGAAAUGCUAUCUGGACUGCUUGCACCAUAUGCCAACAUAGUGAUUGCUCAAGCUGAUUGAAUAAUAAGAUUUUAUUGAAUAAAUGUAUCAACAGAUAGAUAAGGAUGGGAAUACAAUUCAGUGAUAAUAAUUUUACAUACUAUAUGUAAUAUAUGUAGGUUAUUGAACAUUUUAUAAUCAUUUAGUGUGGCCACAUCUUUUCAGAGACAUUUCAAUUAUAAUAAGCGGGGUUUUUUAUCUCAUUCUUGGACCUCUAUGAGGUUGGCAUUAUUCCAGCUUCACAACUGAAUAAAGUUAAUGAAUCUGUCCAUGCUCACACAGAACAAAGUCUGGGAUGAAGACAAGCAAGGUUGAACUACGUGGACAGCACAAUGGCGACUAUAAGCUGCACUGGAGAGUGCUAGAGGGCUUGCCAGGGCAGAAACUAGACUUUGCUUUAUCUUCUUGCUGCUCAGCAAUGGUGAGAGGUGAUGGUGCUCCAGUCUGGGAAGGAGAUGCUGGUGGGGCUGCAAUAGUGAGGAAACGGUUGAUGAAGUUUAGACGUGACUCUUGGCUCAUUUUUUCAUAUGCAGUCUACAGUUGUUAUUGCCUCAUUUUCAAGGGUAUUCUGUUGAUCAUAUAGUAGUCAUAUCAAACUCUUAAUUAAGAGAGUCACAUUAAGUGACUUCAUAGUCACCAGGACUACUUGUAACACAACAGAAUGGCUAGAACAUAAGUUGUGCCUCAAGGUGUGGUCAGAAAAGCCAAAAGACACAGAGAUGUCAAGGAGAGUCUACAGUAUAUACUAAUAUGGCUGCCACUCUCACGAGCUCUGACCAACUGAAUAUUCACAAAAGUAUAUACUCAAAGGACAGACGCGAUAGGGGAAAGAAUACUAUAUAAAAUAACCAGGAAGCAAAUGGUUUACUCUCAACCUCAAUACAGAUGAUCUUUCUCUGUACCACACACAUGUACUGCACACUUCAUCAUUUCAACUUCCACAGCCUGGAGAGGCCUUCAUCUUCUUCUUAGCCCCUGUCAUCAACAGCUAUCUCUAGAGAGCCCGAUGACAGCUCUAUCUAGUGGGGGGAAACCACAUCCUCAUUUUUUUCUCUUCAGAACAUCCUCGGCCUAUGACAUAUACCACUGUCUAAUAAGAUGGGUUUCCCAGGCCAGCAUGAUGGGGACCAGUUAUCUCUUCCCUGACAGCAGCUGGAAUUCUAGCAGCUGCCUCUAGGCAAAUGGCAUGCAGUAGCAGAUGACAGGCCCAGUAGUAAGAUUUAUCAAAUACUGCCUACAUAAUAAUAACAAAAACAAUAAUAAUAAUAAUAAUAAAUUUAAUUGAAUGCUCAUUUCUUCUCUUGUGAUCUUGUAUUAUUAAAUUGCUAAGUUUUAUAUUAUGCAUUUGUAUUGCUAAAGUAAUAACUGUUAAUUACUCUAGAGGCAUAAAAACAACUCUAAUAAUGAAAACAAAUUAGAAAAAUUUAGUAAUGAGUUAUCAUUUUUAUACUUUGUCUAUGUUCCAUUUUCUAUCUCUAUACCAAUAAGCAGAACAUAGUCAAGAUGCUAAGAGAGACUUAACCAGUCAUGGUGUAGUUGGAAAUCAGGAAAUGAAGUCUUUUGCCAAUGACGCUAUCACUAACCAUGUGGACUUAAAGUCUCCUUGCCUUGCUGGGAUUCAGUUUCCAUCUGUAAGUAAGAAAAGAAUGGUUUACAGCCCGGCAAUGGUGGCACUUGGGAGGCAGAGGCAGGUGGACCUCUGUGAGUUCAAGGCCAGCCUGGUCUACAGAGAAAGUUCCAGGAAGGCUCCAAAGCUACAGAGAAACCCUGUACUGAAAAACAAAAAAUAAGAAGAAUGAUUCAGACUUGCAGGUGGAGAAGGCUUCUUCUUUCUACCAAGUGCCCCUGUGCUGUUUGAUCUCUCUGCAUCGUUAGCAUCGAUUCCAGUUCUUGUUUGAGGUUAUAAUUGGUUUUGUUUUUCUAAGCUCCAUGGUGUUCUCAUCCUCCAGUUCUCAACUUGUCACCCCUCAGAGAAGGUUCUGCACACGUCUCCUGUUUGAAAGUUAAAAUAGAUGUAGAUGAUUAUAUAUGCAGAUGUAUAUGUAUACUUUCUACUGUCUGAAAGGUAAAGGAGAUGUAGAUGAUUAUAUAUGCAGAUGUAUAUGUAUACCUUUUACUGUUUGAAAGGUAAAAUAGAUGUAGAUGAUUAUAUAUGCACACAUAUAUUCAUGCCUUUUACUGUUUGAAAGGUACUGUUUGAAGGGACGCAGCAUCUAAAGAAAGAAAGGUCUAAGAAAGAGACAGGAAUGAGAGAACU
Non-coding RNA from Cricetulus griseus (Chinese hamster), 11635 nucleotides. Lineage: Eukaryota; Metazoa; Chordata; Mammalia; Rodentia; Cricetidae. The record is from RefSeq and is a predicted model, not a curated record.